Molecule: long non-coding RNA, 654 nt
Filed under: Manihot esculenta (cassava)
Lineage: Eukaryota; Viridiplantae; Streptophyta; Magnoliopsida; Malpighiales; Euphorbiaceae
Description: long non-coding RNA (MESC_LNC000019)
Source: RNAcentral
CCCAACUGAAGCAGAGCUUCAGGACAUGAUAAAUGAGGUUGAUGCUGAUGGGAAUGGUACUAUUGAUUUCCCGGAGUUCCUUAAUCUGAUGGCUCGCAAGAUGAAGGACACUGAUUCUGAGGAAGAGCUCAAGGAAGCUUUCCGGGUUUUUGAUAAGGAUCAGAAUGGCUUCAUUUCUGCUGCUGAGCUCCGACAUGUCAUGACAAAUCUUGGUGAGAAGCUGACAGAUGAGGAGGUUGAUGAGAUGAUCCGAGAGGCGGAUGUGGAUGGUGAUGGCCAGAUCAACUAUGAGGAGUUUGUCAAAGUCAUGAUGGCCAAGUAAGGAGCAGUCAACCAUAACUAGAAGUUAAAAAAACAUAAGAAGAGAGAAGGAACGGGGCAGAUAAGUUUGAUGAGAAAAAUACUAUUUCCCUUAGGACAUCUUCAUUUGGUGAUAUUAGCUUUGGUUGGAUUGUCUGUUGGCUUGUUUGCAUUAUUUUGUUGCACUUUCCAUUACUAUUUGCUCUGUUUCUUGUUAGUAGCUUGGCUUGUUAGUUUCUUUCUUUUAUUGUUUGUUAUUUUAUAUCUACCUUUGGAUUAUGAACCUAGAACAAUCUGGAUGGAUAAUCAUGUUUUGCUUAUGCAUGACUAAUUUUGUUAAUAUUCUAAAGUUUA